AUAAGCGGAGGAAAAGAAACUAACAAGGAUUCCCCUAGUAACGGCGAGUGAAGCGGGAAGAGCUCAAAUUUAAAAUCUGGCAGUGUAUUCUGUCCGAGUUGUAGUCUAGAGAAGCAUCAUCCGUGCUGGACCAUGUACAAGUCUCUUGAACAGAGCGUCAUAGAGGGUGAGAAUCCCGUCCUUGACAUGGACUCCCAGUGCUUUGUGUUGUGCUCUCAACGAGUCGAGUUGUUUGGGAAUGCAGCUCAAAAUGGGUGGUAAAUUCCAUCUAAAGCUAAAUAUUGGCGAGAGACCGAUAGCGAACAAGUACCGUGAGGGAAAGAUGAAAAGCACUUUGGAGAGAGAGUUAAACAGUACGUGAAAUUGUUGAAAUGGAAACGCUUGAAAGUCAGUCGCGUUCUCUGGGAUUCAGCCUGGCUUCUGCCUGGUGCAUUUCCUAGUCUACGGGCCAGCAUGAAUUUCGACCGAUAGAAAAGGGCUUGAGGAAUGUGGCACCUUCGGGUGUGUUAUAGCCUCUUGUCGUAUGUGUCGGUUGGGAUUGAGGACCUCAGUGCACGCUUUUGUUGUGCUUUGAUGCUGGCG
This 582-nucleotide ribosomal RNA is filed under the name Ceratorhiza oryzae-sativae. RNAcentral's name for it is "eukaryotic LSU rRNA". It matches the Rfam family "Eukaryotic large subunit ribosomal RNA", at positions 46 to 631 of the family's 3401-position model. The record is from RNAcentral. Lineage: Eukaryota; Fungi; Basidiomycota; Agaricomycetes; Cantharellales; Ceratobasidiaceae.